RNAcentral lists this ribosomal RNA (928 nucleotides) under uncultured bacterium. RNAcentral's name for it is "bacterial SSU rRNA". It matches the Rfam family "Bacterial small subunit ribosomal RNA", at positions 29 to 917 of the family's 1533-position model. The record is from RNAcentral.
AAGAACGCUAGCGGUGUGCUAAUACAUGCAAGUCGAACGGUUCUUUCUUCGAUGAAGCUUCGGCAGAUUCGUUGAAAGAAUAGUGGCGAACGGGUGAGUAAUGCAUGAGUAAUCUGCCCUAAAGACCCGGGAUAAGCUUUCGAAAGGAAGUCUAAUACCGGAUAAUAAAAUCAGAUCGCAUGAUUUGAUUUUCAAAGGUAGCUUUUUAAGCCUCUGCUUUUGGAUGAGCUCAUGUCCUAUCAGCUAGUCGGUGAGGUAAAGGCUCACCAAAGCUAAGACGGGUAGCCGGUCUGAGAGGACGGUCGGCCACGCUGGGACUGAGACACGGCCCAGACUCCUACGGGAGGCAGCAGUAGGGAAUCUUGCGCAAUGGGCGAAAGCCUGACGCAGCGACACCGCGUGGAGGAUGAAGGUUUUCGAAUCGUAAACUCCUGUCAAUAGAGGAAGAAGGUAUUAUAGGUGAAUAGCUUAUAAUAUUGACGGUACUUUGUAAGGAAGCCCCGGCUAACUACGUGCCAGCAGCCGCGGUAAUACGUAGGGGGCAAGCGUUUUCCGGAUUUAUUGGGCGUAAAGCGCACGCAGGUGGCUUUUUAAGUCGGAUGUGAAAUCUCUUAGCAAAACUAAGAAAUUGCAUCCGAAACUGGAUUGCUUGAGGUCGGGAGAGGAGAGUGGAAUUCUCGGUGUAGCGGUGAAAUGCGCAGAUAUCGAGAAGAACACCAUUAGCGAAGGCGGCUCUCUGGAACGAUACUGACACUAUAGGUGCGAAAGCUAGGGUAGCACAACAGGAGUUAGAUACCCUGGUAGUCCUAGCUGUAAACGAUGGGCACUAGAUGUAGGGAGAUAUCGACUCUUCCUGUGUCGUAGCUAACGCGUUAAUUCCCCGCCUGGGGAGUACGACCGCAAGGUAAAACUCAAAUGAAUUCGAACG